Long non-coding RNA from Acipenser ruthenus (sterlet), 289 nucleotides. RefSeq lists it as uncharacterized. NCBI's taxonomy places the organism in Eukaryota, Metazoa, Chordata, Actinopteri, Acipenseriformes, Acipenseridae. The record is from RefSeq and is a predicted model, not a curated record. The transcript is spliced from 3 exons.
AGAUAUCUACAACAUGAUGAGACGCCUCGUAGUAAAUGUCCUGGACUUUAUAGAACUAUUCAACCAGGGUCUCUCUCUCCCCUCCUCUCCUCUGCAGUGUUUUGAGCUCCAGCAGCCCUUUGAUUACCCCUGAGACGAGGAGGGCGUCCUGACAGCCUGCAUCCACCCAGAGAGACAGGAUCGUGAUUUUGAGCCUGUGUUUUUGGGGGACUCUCUGUUCCAGACUCUGGUUUCGGGGGUCACUGUUCCCUACAGUGGUGACUGGGAGCCUGUUUACCCCGUGUUUAUC